CCUCCUGGUGGGAGUAAAUCACAUUUAGGUUUUAUGCUGUUUUCUGACAGCUGUGACAGUGUCUCAGGCUUUCCUUGUUUCGGAUGCCUUGACGGCUUUGAGACGUCCUGGUCAGGUAUUUUGGAGAUUGUGCCUCAGUUGGAAUUGUGUGUUUUUCUCAUGAUUAAACUGGAAGACCAUAGAGGAGAAGGGUCACUGUCAUCACAUGUUAUCAAGGGUGCAUGUGUCAAUGUGGUGAUUCAUCCCUGCUGGUGUGAGCCUCAGCCACCUGGCUGCCGAUGCUUGUCAGGUUUUUGCACCCUCAACUCAGUCUUCCUCCCCAUACUGUACAGGAAGUCACUUAAGGAGGAAGGAGUUGUGCUCCACCUUUUUUAUUAUUUUGGUAUUAAUAUACAAUCACAUGAGCAACAUUGUGGUUACUAGAUUCCCCUCUGUGGGAUUGAUGGGGUUGAUACAUAAUUCAAGUAAGGUAGAAAUCAAAUGUAUAAGCACACAUGACUUGACUGUUUUUCCCACACACUCUGUUGAUGUGUAAUCAAGGACUGAGUGAUGGGAACCAAAGCAGUUCUCAUGGCUCGGAGCCAUCUUCACACAGUUUGGUAUCCUUGAGAAGCCUCACAACCUUGGGCUAGACUCAAGGCCGGAUAAUGAUGUUUGAGUUCAUUGUAAGUUCAUUUCUCAGUAAACAUGAGGAGUAUCUUCUCAGCAUUGCUCUUGAGCUGUUAUGCCUUGAGCUCCCUGGCUGACCCUUUCAGGUCUUCAACAACUCAUGUCUCCUCCUUUGCGGCUUAGAGGCAGGGAGGGGACUGACUGGCAAGUGGGGCCCGAACAGGGACCGUUGAAACUCAGAGCAGGGAAGCUCCACUCGGGCGACCCUUGACAAGCAGAGUGGGCAGCUCCGAAGGUCGUCGAUCCGGUAAGACUCCCGAGAAAUCGCACAUAGGGACAGGAUCGAGAUGUCAGGACACUAUAAUAGGCCAAACAGACCAAAGCAGCUAACUGAAGGACUAUUUAAAAUUACUCUGUGCCCUCCUAAAAACAUCAGGAGUGAAAACUUCUAAGAGGGAUUUUGCCCAAUUGCAUAAAUACAUUUAAAAAUAUUGUUAUUGGUUGCCACCGCAGGGAACCCUCAAACAAACUAAUUGGGCUAAUGUUACGAGAGAUCUUAAGAAAGCUCAUGGACAGGGCAAUGCUAUUCCUUUGCCUAUCUAGUCUUUAUGUAACGAUCACUCCUGCUUUGCAACCUUUACAAACUCCCCCUUUUUAGGGGCUCACCCGGGAUAACCUCAGAGGUGAGUAUCAGCAUCCAAGCCUGCCUUUUCUUUCACUGUCCUUAUAGAAGGAAGCUGUCUGUGGCACACAUCGGGCGCUCGUCAGCCACUUAAAUGGGACGAGCCCGGCUGCUGAUGUCAAAGUCUCGAGCGACAGUUUCCCCUGCGUCUCCCUCAGUGGAUGCCCCAUCUCCCAUGGGAGCCGGGAAAGUCAGCUGAGUGGAGGCCCGGAUUCCCUUUCAGAGGCCUCUCCUUGGAUGCGAGGGACCGAGGAAAGCCAUGAGCACCUGCGAGAGUCUAGGCUGAGGCUGCACUUCAGCGGCUUCUGAAAGGCCUGCGUGUCUGGAAUCAGACCCCGACAGCCCGACUGGGUAUCUGUGAGAAGUGCCUCUCCGUCUCUGACUUCCAGCCUGCUUCAGCCUGCCCUGGCCUCUGAGUGAGGCAGGGGGUGUCCCUAACUCUCUUCUAACUUCAUCAAUCUCACGGAACCUGACACUCACCCCCGCAAGAGGCAGUCGUCCUGGAGCUAAGCAUUUCCUUGUUUGCAGCCCCAGGGAAGCGAAACGAGCCUGUGACUCAGAUCAAGGCUCUAAGCAGUGAAGAAAAGUCACACAGUCCCUGCACUUAUCAGACAAGCAGGGGCCUCUCCAGGAAGGACUAAAGCUCGGGCAGAAGAAACUAGGAAAACUAACUGAGAGUAAUUCAAUCCCUACACU
Long non-coding RNA from Manis pentadactyla (Chinese pangolin), 1987 nucleotides. RefSeq lists it as uncharacterized. The record is from RefSeq and is a predicted model, not a curated record. Lineage: Eukaryota; Metazoa; Chordata; Mammalia; Pholidota; Manidae. The transcript has 2 exons.